UACAGAGGGUGCAAGCGUUAAUCGGAAUUACUGGGCGUAAAGGGUGCGUAGGUGGUUGAAUAAGUUAGAUGUGAAAGUCCUGGGCUUAACCUGGGGAUUGCAUCUAAUACUGUUUAGCUAGAGUACUGUAGAGGAAGGUGGAAUUUCCGGUGUAGCGGUGAAAUGCGUAGAUAUCGGAAGGAACAUCAGUGGCGAAGGCGACUUUCUGGACAGAUACUGACACUGAGGCACGAAAGCAUGGGGAGCAAACAGG
RNAcentral lists this ribosomal RNA (253 nucleotides) under uncultured bacterium. Its description in RNAcentral is "partial 16S ribosomal RNA". It matches the Rfam family "Bacterial small subunit ribosomal RNA", at positions 524 to 776 of the family's 1533-position model. The record is from RNAcentral.